CACAGAACCAGCUGUAAUUAUCUUUUUAUUUUACAAGUACUUGGAGCUGUGAAACAUUGGAAAAUAAUCAAAGAAAAAAAUCUAUAUUUAUGCUGCUUCUAAAUGGAUCCCUUGUUGAAGUGUGGGUUGACAGCUGUUCCAGGAAUCAGUGCCUUGAUGAAUUAGGAUGAUGUUGACUGCUGUUUGUCUUGGUGUCUCAACUGUGUACCAACUUCCUCAGCAAAACAUAGAACAGGCAAUUACAUGGAACUAGCAUGAUGAAUAAAAAUAAACUGAUUCAUGAAUUUCUGGAAGUAGUUUCAAGAGGUGAUGUGGAACUCAUCUGUGACCAUAUUGCUAAAGUCCAUUCCAUCCUUGGAAACCUUGACUUUCAGCAUCCAAAGACUGGGAAUACACCUCUCAUUACUGCAGCAGAAGAAAAUCUAACAGAGGUUGUUGGAUUUCUUCUGGAAAAGGGAGCGGAUAUCACCCUGUGUAAUUACAGCAAUCAAACCGCAGUCCAUGUGGCUAAUUGUGAUGUCCAAAGACAACUCUUGGCCAUCAAUGGAAUCCAAGCUCCCCAAAUGCAACUUCUGCAAAGCUCAUGGCAAGGUGAUCUUGAACAACUUCAACACUUGCUGGCAUCUGAAGAGUUCCUGGAUAUAAAUUUCCCAAACCAACAUGGCUUGACUCCUCUGAUGCUGGCUGUGAGAGAUGUGGACCUGUUUGAAAGGCUUGAUAUGUUAACGCUCUAUAGACCUGCGGAGGUUCUCUCUGAGCUUCUCAGGCAUCAUGCAGACCCUAAACUCUGUGAUUUUAGUGGAAAAUCAGCAAUACAUUAUGUGUCACAAAUAGAGAGUUUCAGAAAGCA
This 850-nucleotide long non-coding RNA is filed under the name Bos mutus (wild yak). RNAcentral describes it as "lncRNA (ENSBMUG00000005150.1)". The record is from RNAcentral. Lineage: Eukaryota; Metazoa; Chordata; Mammalia; Artiodactyla; Bovidae.